RNAcentral lists this ribosomal RNA (505 nucleotides) under uncultured bacterium. RNAcentral describes it as "partial 16S ribosomal RNA". It matches the Rfam family "Bacterial small subunit ribosomal RNA", at positions 29 to 523 of the family's 1533-position model. The record is from RNAcentral.
AGUGAACGCUGGCGGUAGGCCUAACACAUGCAAGUCGAACGGCAGCACAGGAGAGCUUGCUCUCUGGGUGGCGAGUGGCGGACGGGUGAGGAAUACAUCGGAAUCUACUCUGUCGUGGGGAUAACGUAGGGAAACUUACGCUAAUACCGCAUACGACCUACGGGUGAAAGCAGGGGACCUUCGGGCCUUGCUCGAUUGAAUGAGCCGAUGUCGGAUUAGCAAGUUGGCGGGGUAAAGGCCCACCAAGGCGACGAUACGUAGCUGGUCUGAGAGGAGGAUCAGCCACACUGGAACUGAGACACGGUCCAGACUCCUACGGGAGGCAGCAGUGGGGAAUAUUGGACAAUGGGCGCAAGCCUGAUCCAGCCAUACCGCGUGGGUGAAGAAGGCCUUCGGGUUGUAAAGCCCUUUUGUUGGGAAAGAAAUCCAGCUGGCUAAUACCCGGUUGGGAUGACGGUACCCAAAGAAUAAGCACCGGCUAACUUCGUGCCAGCAGCCGCCGUAA